RNAcentral lists this unclassified non-coding RNA (321 nucleotides) under Hevea brasiliensis (rubber tree). The record is from RNAcentral. Lineage: Eukaryota; Viridiplantae; Streptophyta; Magnoliopsida; Malpighiales; Euphorbiaceae.
UCUCUCCCUCCCUCUCUCUCUCUCCUCCCCUUCCCCCCGCCCUCCUCCUUGUUCCUUUUUUUCUCUUUUCUUUUUUCUGUCCCACCCCAAAACUGAUAAACUAGAUAACUAUUAUUUGUUAACUGUUGGAUGUUGUUGAUAAAUGUAAGAUGUGUGAGUGAGGUAAAGUGUUGAGGAUCAUAUUCUAUCCUGGGACUCUUUCAGCUUCGUUUUGUUGCCAUUGUCUGUGCUGGACAUUGUCAAUUUUUUGUUUGCUUUCUUGGUGCUGAGGAUACAAACUUUAAUUUGCUGGUUCAAUAUAUAUAUAUGUGUGUGUGUGCG